UACGGGGGGGGCAAGCGUUGUUCGGAAUUACUGGGCGUAAAGGGCUCGUAGGCGGCCAACUAAGUCGGAUGUGAAAUCCCCAGGCUUAACCUGGGAACUGCAUCCGAUACUGAUUGGCUUGAAUCCGGGAGAGGGAUGCGGAAUUCCAGGUGUAGCGGUGAAAUGCGUAGAUAUCUGGAGGAACACCGGUGGCGAAGGCGGCAUCCUGGACCGGCAUUGACGCUGAGUGAGCGAAAGCCAGGGGAGCAAACGGG
Molecule: ribosomal RNA, 254 nt
Filed under: uncultured bacterium
Lineage: Bacteria
Description: partial 16S ribosomal RNA
Rfam family: Bacterial small subunit ribosomal RNA
Source: RNAcentral